This 979-nucleotide long non-coding RNA is filed under the name Panax ginseng (ginseng). RNAcentral describes it as "long non-coding RNA (PGIN_LNC009607)". The record is from RNAcentral. Lineage: Eukaryota; Viridiplantae; Streptophyta; Magnoliopsida; Apiales; Araliaceae.
GUUGAUCGUAAAAAAAAAAAUAGUUCGAUGAUGCAUUUGUAAAUCGAGGUUGAGUAGAGUGGAUAAAAAUGUAUUUAACCCUAAAAUUUUAUGAGCCUAUGUCUGUCAGUAUUUAAUAAGUGAGUGACUGAUAUUAAAAUGGGACGUUUUUGUGUUUGCAAAAAGUGUAAUAAAUACAUGUAAUAAUAAACUAGAGGGAUAAAGACAUGAAGUAGUCAAGUAGAUCCAAUGCUCCAAAGAACCCAACUUAUCAACCAAGCCUUGUCAUCCCCAGGCCCAAAUAAAAGAACAGAUAAGGGUAAACAUAACAGUAUUAAGUUGGGCUUAUGUAAUAGAUUUUGUUGAAAAGUCAAUUACAACUUUUGUUGUAAUCUUUUCCAAAGGGAGCAACCACCCCAACCCAAUUUAACUAGGCCAUAAUAUCUCGUGUGUAUAUAGUCCACAUACAUAGGUCCAUGAUCCUAGUGAAGCUUUGUGUCAAAAUCCAACCCCAAUGAAACUUAUAAAAUGGUACAUUAGUAACUUAAAUUGAACGUGAUAUUUUUGCAAUUAUUAAAAAUGAGGUGCAACAAUUUUAAACAAUUAAAUCUCAAAAAAUAUUAUUGCAUAUAAUAUUUGAGUAUUAUUUAAUUUUGUGAUUCAUUUUAUUAAAUUUUUAUUUUUAAGAGUUUUUUUUUCUCGAAUUUGACCCCACAGAACUUCGGGGUUGGAUCCGCCCCUAUAUAUAUAUAUAUAUAUAUAUAUAUAUAGCUGUGUAGUACACAGUCGCCUAUGACGACAAUUUUUCUGGACAAUAGCGACAGUUCACCGUCGCCAUAGACCAGAAUAGCUAUAGCGACGGGUGAAUCUGGACAAUAGCGACAGUUCACCGUCGCCAUAGACCAGAAUAGCUAUAGCGACGGGUGAAUCUGUCGCUAUAGUUCAAAAAACAUCGCAAUUAAGAAAUUAAUGAUUAUGACAAAUUUAAAUAGGAAACUGA